Malania oleifera is the source of this 106-nucleotide small nucleolar RNA. The record is from RefSeq and is a predicted model, not a curated record. NCBI's taxonomy places the organism in Eukaryota, Viridiplantae, Streptophyta, Magnoliopsida, Santalales, Ximeniaceae.
ACUUGAUGAUGUGGGCACUUACACAAAAGGCCACUAAAAUGUUCCCACUUCUCAAAAAAUUGCUCACCAUCAAUCUGUGUGAAACUAGUGAUAGCCUUCCUAAGCU